GGCUGGGUGGCCUAGUGGUAAAGGCACCCCAUCACUAGUGGGAAGACCCAAGUUCAAUCCCUGGUCUGGCCA
Molecule: non-coding RNA, 72 nt
Organism: Pisolithus thermaeus
Lineage: Eukaryota; Fungi; Basidiomycota; Agaricomycetes; Boletales; Pisolithaceae
Source: the annotation of a GenBank genome assembly